This 661-nucleotide long non-coding RNA is filed under the name Zonotrichia albicollis (white-throated sparrow). RNAcentral's name for it is "lncRNA (ENSZALG00000000654.1)". The record is from RNAcentral. Lineage: Eukaryota; Metazoa; Chordata; Aves; Passeriformes; Passerellidae.
GGACUUUUUGGUGGAAUUGGGGGUUUUUUUAUGGAUUUGGGAUUUUUUUGCCAGAUUUACCAUUAUUUUUUGGUGGGAUUUGGGAUUUUGGGGGGGAUUUGGGAUUUUUUGCAGGAUUUGGGAUUUUUUUUUUUUUGUGGCAUUUUUGGGGUUUUUUUGUUGCUAUUUGGGUUUUUCAAUCCCUGUGGAUUCGGGGGAUUUUUGGGAAUGUUGGGAACGUUUGGAUCCCGUGGUUCCCCCCUGGGUGAUCCCAAGGUUCCUCACUGGGGUUUGUGGGAUCCCUGCCUCAGUUUCCCUUUGGAACGCCGGGGCCUCCGUCCCCAUUUCAGGGCCCGUUCCCGUUAUCCCAACCCCAUUCCAGUUUAUCCCAACCCCAUUCCAGUUUAUCCCGGCCCCAUUCCCAAUCCCAUUCCCAGUUCCCAUUCCCAGUUCCCAUUCCCAGUUCCCAUUCCCAGUUCCCAUUCCAGGUUCCCAUUCCCAGUUCCCAUUCCCAGUUCCCAAAUCCAUUCCAGUUUAUCCCAAUCCCACUCCCAGUUCCAAAUCCCAUUCCCAGUAUCCCAGUCCCAUUCCCGGCCCCAUUCCCAAUUAUCCCAAUCCCAUUCCAGUUUAUCCCAACCCCAUUCCCAAUUAUUCCAACCCCAUUCCCAACUGUCCCAAUCUC